This 752-nucleotide ribosomal RNA is filed under the name uncultured bacterium. RNAcentral describes it as "bacterial SSU rRNA". It matches the Rfam family "Bacterial small subunit ribosomal RNA", at positions 61 to 844 of the family's 1533-position model. The record is from RNAcentral.
GUCGAACGAGAAAGAGGAGCAAUCCAUGAGUAAAGUGGCGACCGGGUGAGUAACACGUGACUAACCUGCCCUUGAGUGGGGGAUAACCUCGGGAAACCGGGGCUAAUACCGCAUAACAUCGCAAGAUCAAAGGAGCAAUCCGCUGAAGGAGGGGGUCGCGGCUGAUUAGUUAGUUGGUGAGGUAACGGCUCACCAAGACGAAGAUCAGUAGCCGGCCUGAGAGGGCGCACGGCCACACUGGAACUGAAACACGGUCCAGACUCCUACGGGAGGCAGCAGUGGGGAAUUUUGCACAAUGGGGGAAACCCUGAUGCAGCAACGCCGCGUGGAGGAUGAAGUCCCUUGGGAUGUAAACUCCUUUCGACCGGGACGAUAAUGACGGUACCGGUGGAAGAAGCCCCGGCUAACUCUGUGCCAGCAGCCGCGGUAAUACAGAGGGGGCAAGCGUUGUUCGGAAUUAUUGGGCGUAAAGGGUGCGUAGGCGGUGCGGUAAGUCUUUUGUGAAAUCUCCGGGCUCAACUCGGAGUCUGCAGGAGAAACUGCCGUGCUUGAGUAUGGGAGAGGUGAGUGGAAUUCCUGGUGUAGCGGUGAAAUGCGUAGAUAUCAGGAGGAACACCUGUGGCGAAAGCGGCUCACUGGACCAUAACUGACGCUGAGGCACGAAAGCUAGGGGAGCAAACAGGAUUAGAUACCCUGGUAGUCCUAGCCCUAAACGAUGAUUGCUUGGUGUAGCAGGUACCCAAUCCUGCUGU